Molecule: ribosomal RNA, 253 nt
Filed under: uncultured bacterium
Lineage: Bacteria
Description: partial 16S ribosomal RNA
Rfam family: Bacterial small subunit ribosomal RNA
Source: RNAcentral
CACGUAGGGCGCAAGCGUUGUCCGGAAUUAUUGGGCGUAAAGAGCUCGUAGGCGGUCUGUUGCGUCCGCUGUGAAAACUCGGGGCUUAACCCCGAGCCUGCAGUGGAUACGGGCAGACUAGAGGUAGGUAGGGGAGAAUGGAAUUCCCGGUGUAGCGGUGAAAUGCGCAGAUAUCGGGAGGAACGCCGGUGGCGAAGGCGGUUCUCUGGGCCUUACCUGACGCUGAGGAGCGAAAGCGUGGGGAGCGAACAGG